UGAGCAAUCUGCCCUUCUCAUCGGAAUAAGCGUUGGAAACGACGUCUAAUGCCGAAUACGACCUCCUUUCGCAUGAUCGGAGGUGGAAAGCUCCGGCGGAGAAGGAUGAGCUCGCGGCCUAUCAGCUAGUUGGUGUGGGUAAUGGCCCACCAAGGCGACGACGGGUAGCCGGCCUGAGAGGGUGACCCGGCCACACUGGGACUGAGACACGGCCCAGACUCCGUACGGGAGGNAGCG
Molecule: ribosomal RNA, 237 nt
Filed under: uncultured bacterium
Lineage: Bacteria
Description: partial 16S ribosomal RNA
Rfam family: Bacterial small subunit ribosomal RNA
Source: RNAcentral